GCCUCUGAACGGGCGACUCUGCCGCAAGCACCAGAUCCAGGCGUUUCCGAGCGUUCGCGUGUUCCGCGAGGGCACGGACAUUCAC
RNAcentral lists this non-coding RNA (85 nucleotides) under Pycnococcus provasolii. The record is from RNAcentral. Lineage: Eukaryota; Viridiplantae; Chlorophyta; Pseudoscourfieldiophyceae; Pseudoscourfieldiales; Pycnococcaceae.